GUUAAGGUGUCUGAUAAAGGUAAUAAAUUGUACGUUUAUUUAUGAAUAAAAUUCUCUUAAUA
RNAcentral lists this transfer RNA (62 nucleotides) under Cladolidia robusta. Its description in RNAcentral is "tRNA-Tyr". The record is from RNAcentral. Lineage: Eukaryota; Metazoa; Arthropoda; Insecta; Hemiptera; Cicadellidae.